This 132-nucleotide small RNA is filed under the name Carlito syrichta (Philippine tarsier). RNAcentral describes it as "sRNA (ENSTSYG00000033632.1)". The record is from RNAcentral. Lineage: Eukaryota; Metazoa; Chordata; Mammalia; Primates; Tarsiidae.
UGCAAGCCAGGAGUUUUAUUUAGCUGUGCUGAAACCCCACAGACCUGGAACAGGACUCCUAAGCCAGUGUCCUUGCUGUCCAAGAGUACAAAAGCUCGUGAGCAGGCUCUGCCCCUUCUGGGAAGAACGCCA